CUAGUGUCAAAGGAAAACGUUUUCUUUAAUUUAUAAAGUAACAUAACCUUUUAUUUGUCCUGUAAACGGUAUUAAUAGCUAAAACACUAUAAUCAAAUCCAUUUAGCAGUAAACUUUGCUAACCAGAAAGUAUCUCACAAUGUUUAUUGUCUCUCUUAAUUAGCUCUCUGCCUGAACACUUUGUAAAUGGAAAAGUCUCCUCUUGACGCUGGAGCCCACUCCCUGCCUCGUUCUCAGCCAGCACUGUAAUCCUUCUGUAGCUGUCUCCUCAGUCAUUUCCUGGCCCAGCCUGGACUGACAGUUAUGUCCUCUUCGUGGUUUAAAAUAUUGCUUCUUUUUAUUUCAUUUUAGGUCUCCCCUUCCUCCUCAGCCGUUAUCUGUCUAUCUGCCAGUCUUUCCAUCUGUCCUACCCUAGAAUUUCUGUUUCUCUGUUUUCUCGUUAAAAGCAUGUUCAACAUUAUACUGAUGUCAAAAUGCACUUUAUUUGAACCACAAAUUGAAUAUAUUUUGUCUUUUCUGGAAA
This 523-nucleotide long non-coding RNA is filed under the name Bos taurus (domestic cattle). RNAcentral describes it as "long non-coding RNA NONBTAT001636". The record is from RNAcentral. Lineage: Eukaryota; Metazoa; Chordata; Mammalia; Artiodactyla; Bovidae.